GCCGGGGUAGCUCAAUCGGUCGAGCGAGGCCAUAGCGGCCGAGUAUGCUGGUUCGAAUCCAGCCCCGGCUCCA
Molecule: transfer RNA, 73 nt
Filed under: Chloroflexota bacterium
Lineage: Bacteria; Bacillati; Chloroflexota
Description: tRNA-Leu
Rfam family: tRNA
About the family: Transfer RNA (tRNA) molecules are approximately 80 nucleotides in length. Their secondary structure includes four short double-helical elements and three loops (D, anti-codon, and T loops).
Source: RNAcentral